GAUGAAGAACGUAGCGAAAUGCGAUACUUGGUGUGAAUUGCAGAAUCCCGUGAACCAUCGAGUUUUUGAACGCAAGUUGCGCCCGAAGCCAUUCGGCCGAGGGCACGUCUGCCUGGGUGUCACGCAUCGUUGCCCCCCCAAACUCCGGUUCGGGCGGGGCGGAAGUUGGCCUCCCGUUCGUGCCUGCGCGCGCGGUUAGCCCAAAAGCGAGUCCUCGGCGACGAGCGCCACGACAAUCGGUGGUUUUUUUACCCUCGUUCCUCGUCGUGCGUGUCCCGUCGCCCGAACGCGCUCUUGUGACCCUCACGCGUCGCCUCGGCGGCGCUCCCAACGCGACCCCAGGUCAGGCGGGACUACCCGCUGAGUUUAAGCAUAUCAAUAAGCGGAGGA
RNAcentral lists this unclassified non-coding RNA (390 nucleotides) under soil metagenome. RNAcentral describes it as "partial contains 5.8S ribosomal RNA, internal transcribed spacer 2, and large subunit ribosomal RNA". The stretch from base 1 to 122 matches the Rfam family "5.8S ribosomal RNA", at positions 35 to 154 of the family's 154-position model. The record is from RNAcentral.